GACGAACCGUCCGAACGUUAUUCGGUAUCACUGGGCUUAAAGCGUGCGUAGGCGGCCUGGUAGGUGAGGUGUGAAAGCCCACGGCUCAACCGUGGAAUUGCGCUUCAAACCACCAGGCUUGAGGAUGGCAGGGGUGAUGGGAACUGAUGGUGGAGCGGUGAAAUGCGUUGAUAUCAUCAGGAACACCGGUGGCGAAGGCGCAUCACUGGGCCAUUUCUGACGCUGAGGCACGAAAGCUAGGGUAG
This 245-nucleotide ribosomal RNA is filed under the name uncultured Rhodopirellula sp. RNAcentral's name for it is "partial 16S ribosomal RNA". It matches the Rfam family "Bacterial small subunit ribosomal RNA", at positions 524 to 768 of the family's 1533-position model. Lineage: Bacteria; Pseudomonadati; Planctomycetota; Planctomycetia; Pirellulales; Pirellulaceae. The record is from RNAcentral.